This 508-nucleotide ribosomal RNA is filed under the name uncultured bacterium. Its description in RNAcentral is "partial 16S ribosomal RNA". It matches the Rfam family "Bacterial small subunit ribosomal RNA", at positions 28 to 523 of the family's 1533-position model. The record is from RNAcentral.
GAUGAACGCUAGCUACAGGCUUAACACAUGCAAGUCGAGGGGAAACGAUAGAGAAAGCUUGCUUUUUCUAGGCGUCGACCGGCGCACGGGUGAGUAACGCGUAUCCAACCUGCCCAUCACUUGGGGAUAACCUUGCGAAAGUAAGACUAAUACCCAAUGAUGUCUCUAGAAAACAUCUGAAAGGGAUUAAAGAUUUAUCGGUGAUGGAUGGGGAUGCGUCUGAUUAGCUUGUUGGCGGGGUAACGGCCCACCAAGGCGACGAUCAGUAGGGGUUCGGAGAGGAAGGUCCCCCACAUUGGAACUGAGACACGGUCCAAACUCCUACGGGAGGCAGCAGUGAGGAAUAUUGGUCAAUGGGCGAGAGCCUGAACCAGCCAAGUAGCGUGCAGGAUGACGGCCCUAUGGGUUGUAAACUGCUUUUAUAAGGGAAUAAAGUGAGCCUCGUGAGGCUUUUUGCAUGUACCUUAUGAAUAAGGACCGGCUAAUUCCGUGCCAGCCGCCGCCGUAA